GAAGUAAAAGUCGUAACAAGGUUUCCGUAGGUGAACCUGCGGAAGGAUCAUUAAAAAAUUGGACUCCAUUGGUGAGUUCAUUAAUAAUCCCUACCUUUGUGAAUUUGUUUGUUUGAAUAAUUUUUUUCCAAAAAAAAAUUAUUGAAUGUCUUUCCCUGUCUUGGUGGAGCUUGUAAAGUGAAACCAGGCAGGGGAAUGGCAAACAAUAAUUAUUUUUGAAAAAAGACCUUUUUUUAAAAUUAAACUUUUUGUAUUCAUUUGUCUAAAAUUAUUUUUAUAAUAUAAAAACAACUUUUGACAAUGGAUCUCUUGGUUCUCGCAACGAUGAAGAACGCAGCAAAAUGCGAUAAGUAGUGUGAAUUGCAGAAUACGUGAAUCAUCGAAUCUUCGAACGCAUAUUGCACUUUUUUAGUUUACUAAAAAAGUAUGUCUGUUUGAGUAUCAGUAAAAUAUUCUCAUAAAAAACAUUGUUUUUUUAUGGUUAUGAGUGUUUUACAACGAUAACAAGUUGUUUCACUUUAAAUUCUUUGUUAUCAAAAAAUCAUUAAAAGCUAAUUUUAAAGAUUUUUUAAAAUUGGAUAAAAUUUUCCCGUAAAAGGAAUAACCUAAACAAUUUUAAAAAAUUAAAAUUGGUUUGAUUUUUUUUGAAACCCAAAGGAAAAAAAAACGAAAUUAACUUGAUCUCAAAUCAGAUAAGAGUACCCGCUGAACUUAAGCAUAUCAAUAAGCGGAGGAAAAGAAACUAACUAGGAUUCCCUCAGUAACGGCGAGUGAAGCGGGAAGAGCUCAAAUUUGAAAUCUUCAAGGUUUACCUUGACGAAUUGUGGUUUAAAGAAGUGUUUUCUGUUGGAGUUUUGGUAAAAGUUCUUUGGAAAAGGACAUCAUAGAGGGUGAGAAUCCCGUAUUUGACCAUUAUCUCCAGCUUUGUGAUACACUUUCAAAGAGUCGGAUUGUUUGGGAAUGCAGUCCAAAAUGGGUGGUAAAUUUCAUCUAAAGCUAAAUACUGGCGAGAGACCGACAGCGAACAAGUACCGUGAGGGAAAGAUGAAAAGAACUUUGAAAAGAGAGUUAAACAGUACGUGAAAUUGUCAAAAGGGAAGCGUUUGACACCAGUGUUGUUUUCUCGAAAAUCAAUUAAAAAAGGCCGGAUUUUGUGUUGUAUUGACUUUAUCAGCUUUCUGCACUUUUUCUUGUCUUUUUUAAUGCACUUUCGUUUAACAAGUCAACAUCAACUGUCUUUUGUUGUAAAAGGGUCAUUGGAAGGUGGCUUUCUUUUCGGAGAAAGUGUUUAUAGCCUUUGGCCUCUGCAAUCGGAGAGAUUGAGGUCUGCAGCGUAGAUCCUUCGGGGUUAGAUACAUUUGUGCUAAGUUAUGGCCUUUCAUAGACAACUUGUUGACUAUGAUCAGUCAUGUAGCUUACUCGCUUAUGCUAUUUUACCUACGCUUAGGAUGUUGAAG
Molecule: unclassified non-coding RNA, 1457 nt
Filed under: uncultured Neocallimastigales
Lineage: Eukaryota; Fungi; Neocallimastigomycota; Neocallimastigomycetes; Neocallimastigales
Description: partial contains small subunit ribosomal RNA, internal transcribed spacer 1, 5.8S ribosomal RNA, internal transcribed spacer 2, and large subunit ribosomal RNA
Rfam family: Eukaryotic large subunit ribosomal RNA (bases 679-1457)
Source: RNAcentral